This 1009-nucleotide long non-coding RNA is filed under the name Triticum aestivum (bread wheat). RNAcentral describes it as "long non-coding RNA (TAES_LNC006154)". The record is from RNAcentral. Lineage: Eukaryota; Viridiplantae; Streptophyta; Magnoliopsida; Poales; Poaceae.
AACAAGUUCAGGUUAUCAACAGUACACCCAACACGCCAAGUUCUUAACUUAACAUAUGCAUUUGUUUCAGAGAUGGUGUUACAUCCUGUGAUAUAAAUGAAAAUUACAGCAAAACAAAAAAACCUGCAAGAGAAGCACUUUGCCAAACCAAAAGAUAAUUGAACCAUUGGAUCUUGAGCUGAUGUACUGCAUGCACUUCUUUGUUUGUACGGGAUGCACCUCUCUUUUUGUGGUUCAUAUCCUGAAGAUCCUUCAAUUCAGUUAUCAACACACCGUAGCAGGCAUGCUUGCCACCUAUCUUUUGGAUGCACUCCCUUGUCAUUUUCUAUUGCUAAUUAGAGCACUUUAGGAGCACCGACUCAUGUGCGAAUAUGUAGCUGGCUUCAGACUAGACAGUACUCUGGCAAUACCUGUGCAAUUGAGCAACAAGUUCAGAAUAGGAGAAGCAACCAGGAAUCAUUCGCACGAAGAGUACUGAAUAAAAAUAAGAAUUGCACUGAUCUAAAAUUAGUUUUAAACUGAGGGUGUUACUUUGGUGUGUGAUCAUUUCUUGUGAACAUUCAAUUAAACAUGUUUGGUGUCACUUGAUGCAAGAAGGCAAGAAGGUUUUAUUUUGCACACACACACAUAGUACUGUCAUAUGUGUUUUUCACAAACUGAUGAUAGUUCACAUACUAAACUGGCACACCUAGUUCACAUACUAAACUGGCACAUACUACACUAUAAGAUCUGCACUGUAAGAUAAUGAUGUACUGCACUUAGAUAACGAUGUAUGCACUGUUAGAUAACGAUAAAACAUAGCAUCCUAGUCCAAUCAUGACUACUUUGAAUGGGCUAGAUUUUAUCAACAAGGAGCAUGUACCGGUUUACAAAUUAAUUCUGUAUAUAUUUGUUGAAGUUACCUUAGACUUGCAUCUAGUUUUGGCACACCCAAUAAUAGUUGUACUGAGAUGGUCAACUAAUUGUACUGAGAUAGUGAACUUAUUUAUUGCAAAAAGAAAGUCUAAAU